AGCUUCUUGAUAUAAAAUAUAAAUACCUUACAAACAUGUUAUUUGUAUACCACUAUAAUCUUAAUGCAUACAUUAUAACACAUUAUAUUUUUACCUAGGUUAUUAUGUUUGUAGACACAUAAUUUUGUCCCUCCUCGAAAGCAUUUUUACCUCUGUCUUACUGCGUGCCCUCACCCGUAUGAUUUUAUCCCACAAAAAUACAAAAAAAAAUAACAAACCCACUAACAAACCUAAUCCCCAAUUAUUCUUUUGGUAACAAAAUUAACCACCCUCAUAUCAAUUUUGGACAACACAUCACCACCCCAUGCCCCCUAUCCUAACCACUACCCCUACCACGUCACCACCCCCAAAUCACGUUUUUCCAUCUUUUGUUUUAAUACCAGAAUACAUACACAUAGAAGGGAGAAAAAGGAAUAAACCAAAAAAAAAAAAGGGAGCCCACGUGAUUCCACACACACAAAAAGGGGGCUUAAUUUCCAUUUAUACACAUAUACAUCAUCACAUUCAAGGGGGCACAGAUACUCUCACUGACCAUACUCUCCAUCCAUCGUCACUACCAUACACCUCACAGAAAAGCUCUACUUUUCUUCACUCACUGGUAUCUUCACUCACCAACGAGACACACACAUAAACCUCACCAUAAAACACACAAUUCACCUUCUUCUCCAGAAUCCAUACACAACAACAAACAUAGCACUCAACAUUCACCACCUACGCACAAUUCUUCACAAACACACGCACAAGGGUCGGAGUGAGAGAGAAAAUGAGAGAGGUCGGCGAUUGAGAGGUAGAUCGGAGACGGAGAGACGAGAAAAGGGAAAUGGAGUGGGGAAGCCGCUGGGAAAUGACUAAUAUUCUGAAUUUUCCAGCGAGAUUAUUGCCGGAAUUCAUUUUUCCCCAUCGAAAAAGCCACCAGCUCUCUUUCGUUCUUAUUUUUUGACCAAAAACCGAGGAUCACUGACGAGCCGAAAACAGGAGAACAGUAGCGAGCCGGAUUCUUUUUCCAAAAUUGGUUCAAAAAUGGUUUUGCAUUGGAACGGGUUUGGGUUUUGGAUAUUGUUGGUCUCGUUUGGUUCCUAUUAGUCCAUUUCGGAUUGACGGCGUUCACUGAUUUUUAAUCGGGAAACUCGAGUUGGGUUGUGCUCUUUGGUAUUUGUUCAAGUUGCAGGUUUUGAGGUUACAGUUGGUUCGAGGUUCCGUUGCUCCGUCAAUUUCAAUUCAUCACUGAUUUUGGAAUAAAAUGAACUAUUGAGGGGAAUGCCCCAAGGUAUUUGUAUUGCUUUAUUCGGGGAAUGCCCCGAGAAAGUUGUACUUGAAGAAGGCGCACGGUCAAGUCCCGAAAUAUCGAAUGGAGUAAAGAAUCGGAGUAUAGUUUAGUAUUAGUGUAGGUUAGAUAGGAUUUAUUUUUGCAUUUUUCUAUUUUGGACUGUAUAAAUUGAACUGGACAUUAUGAUUUUGGAUUUGUUUUGUUUUGAUUCA
Molecule: long non-coding RNA, 1479 nt
Organism: Capsicum annuum
Lineage: Eukaryota; Viridiplantae; Streptophyta; Magnoliopsida; Solanales; Solanaceae
Exons: 2
Source: RefSeq, a predicted model, not a curated record